CCAAUAAAUAAAUAAACAUUUAAAGCAUUACAUUAUCGUCAUUGCAGGAGUGCAAUUUGCUGGUUGUCCUGUAGGUGACCUUGUAACUCUGUUGUCUUACGAUGCACUUAUGAAUGAACGAUUACUCCAGAGCACUCGUAGAUCUACGAUGAUUUUCAAGUGCAACUUAAGUUACGAAGCUUUUGGGAAACAGCCCGUAAUUCUAAGAUGAUUCGUACGAUCGUUUUUACGAUCUACUUAGCCUUACGAUGCUUUUGGGAAACCUGUUAUUGAGUCAUUCCCAGAAUAAGUGACGACUCUCCCCGUCAUUGACACAUAGUUAAACUUGCGUCCCUAUAGCUUAGUCCUGAUUUUAGCAAAGUUUGGGGUGACAAAAAUCCAGAUCGCAUUCAAGGACGCUAAUUGGUUAAAUUUUAUGUCAUUUCUUAAUUUUAAGUUUCAUUGAUGUUACAACUUACACAGAGUCUUGUAGAUGUGAACUAGCUUACCUUACAGUUAACAGACACAACAUCAACACUAACAACUUGUUAAGAAAAAAUUCUAAGAGACACACAAUAAAAAUUUAGCUUUGAAGGGUUUAACUACAAAGAAUGCUUUGCCAUCACAGAAAUAGAUGAAGUAAAAAUACUACAUACCGCAAAAUAGUUUUUUCCCCUCUAACAUCUGCUGUGUCUGCCACAGCGCUCUACUUUCUUAUGUGUUAAAUAGGAACAACACUGAACAUAUGAGGUAAUUUGUAACUUUGUAACCAAUCAGCCGUGAGGCUCUUGGACUUCAGAGCAGGAAACAAACUAUGCUAGCAUGAUGUCAUCAGACUUGAAAAACCAAGGAUUUAGUAAGAGCCAUUAGCAACAAGGAUCAGCGUCUAAAUACUUUGUGUUUCAAGUCUGUUUACAUGAUGAUAGCAUAAUUUAUGUCAUCAGCUGAUGGCUUUUGAUGGCAGUGCGUUGCUACGUUUGUGGCAGUGUUGUGUGUUUGUAACCAUUUUGGAUGAGUGAUACGGCGUGAAGACUUCGUUAUCUCUCUUGAUAUCCAAACAUGGCCAUGUCCAAGGGUCUUGGUAAUCCCAUGUUACGUGGAAUGUAAACCCAUUUGGAUGUGACUACAUUGCUGCUUUGCCUGAGUUUGUUUUAUUCCAUUUGUGUGUAUUUGUGUCCGUAAAGUGGCGACAGUAUUGACUCUUUGUCGGACUGCAUUCAUUUGGUGGUUUGGGCUGGGAAGUACCUACAACUACAUUGUCAUCUGAGUUCAGCCCUGCCUGUGACGUAUACCCAAAUGCAGGAAUUGUGGUCGCCUGUAUGAUGGAUCACCAAUGUUAUUUUCUUUUGCUAUUUUGUAUGUGGUCUUAUGUUUAAUUGUGUAUUGAAGUUGUUCACAUCUACAAAGUGGGGAUUGCCUGAGUUUGUUUACACAAUUUGCUGUGUGAAAAUUUUGUGGUGUUUUCACGAGUAUAUUAUAUAUUAAGUGUGUGGUGACUCUCCAACCCCUGCAGGCGAUCUCCCCUUGUAGAUGUGAUUUUGCUUUUUGUGUAAACUUCAACAAUAUCAUAUUUUUUCUACCUGUUGUCUAUGAAAAUAAAUUAUAUUUUGGUAAAUUAUUGUUU
Molecule: non-coding RNA, 1603 nt
Organism: Misgurnus anguillicaudatus (oriental weatherfish)
Lineage: Eukaryota; Metazoa; Chordata; Actinopteri; Cypriniformes; Cobitidae
Source: RefSeq, a predicted model, not a curated record